Molecule: long non-coding RNA, 442 nt
Organism: Pollicipes pollicipes
Lineage: Eukaryota; Metazoa; Arthropoda; Thecostraca; Pollicipedomorpha; Pollicipedidae
Exons: 3
Source: RefSeq, a predicted model, not a curated record
UUGACACUUCGUACCGAAGGAUCGUAGCAUGAACGUUGUCGCGCCCUCUGCUGAGUUCUCAAGCUUAGACUACGGUAAAAACAUGCCGAUACUCAAAUCAUCCACUCUUAGCAUGAGCAUGCCCCACUACAGCGUCCACGUGGGGGCAGCGCGGCAGCACUGGGUUUGAUGCCCCCCCAUGCCGCCAGAACUGUGUCUUGUAACGAAGAGGGCAGCGGCGUGGGGAAAUCUACAGAGCCCUUUCUGCCAAAUCAGCUAGAGAAUGAAUUGGCAAACAUCGACGAAAGCCAGCCCGUCAGGAUCAGCAUCACCAUGACCCUGACGACGACGCUGAACGCGCGCUGGGAGACCGUUCUCUGGCGGCAGCGUCUCUAUGUGCAGGUGCCCAAUGGGCUCCUGCCAGACGGCUCCAAGGAGGGGUAAGCGACCACAUACCGCCCGC